AUCGAGGGAGUAGCUAGCGGAAAAUUCCGUGAUAUUGUCGUCAAUCCGACUUGUUUCCGGCAAUAUAUUAAAUAGCGAGACUUGUUUUAAUAAAACAGGUCUCUUUUU
Molecule: non-coding RNA, 108 nt
Organism: Streptococcus suis 05ZYH33
Lineage: Bacteria; Bacillati; Bacillota; Bacilli; Lactobacillales; Streptococcaceae
Source: Rfam